UGCAAGUCGCACGGACGUAGCAAUACGUUAGUGGCGAACGGGUGAGUAAUGAAUCGCUAAUGUACCCCGGACUUUGGGAUAGCUGCCCGAAAGGGCAGGUAAUACCAGAUGACAUAACUUCUUCGCAUGAAGGAGUUCUCAAAGGUUCGCCGGUCUGGGCGCAGGCGAUUUCGUAUCAGCUAGUUGGUGAGGUAACGGCUCACCAAGGCGACGACGCGUAGCCGGACUGAGAGGUUGGCCGGCCACAUCGGGACUGAGACACUGCCCGGACUCCUACGGGGGGCUGCAGUAACGAAUCUUCCCCAAUGCACGAAAGUGUGAGGGAGCGACGCCGCGUGUGGGACGAAGUCCUUCGGGAUGUAAACCACUGUCAGGGGAUACCAAGUUCUGAGGAUCCCCAGAGGAAGAGGCGGCUAACUCUGUGCCAGCAGCCGCGGUAAGACAGAGGCCUCAAGCGUUAGGCGGAAUCACUGGGCUUAAAGCGUGUGUAGGCGGAUCGUUAAGUGUCUUGUGAAAUCCCACGGCUCACCCGUGGAACUGCUGGGCAUACUGGCGAUCUUGGGCCAACUAGGGGCAACUGGAACAAGCGGUGGAGCGGUGAAAUGCGUAGAUAUCGCUUGGAACGCCAAAGGUGAAAACAGGUUGCUGGGGUUGUGCCGACGCUGAGACACGAAAGCCAGGGGAGCAAACGGGAUUAGAUACCCCGGUAGUCCUGGCCCUAAACGAUGUCCACUAGAUUGCGGCGGGUUUGACCCCGUCGCGGUCGAAGCAAAAGUGUUAAGUGGACCGCCUGGGAAGUACGGUCGCAAGGCUAAAACUCAAAGGAAUUGACGGGGGCUCACACAAGCGGUGGAGCAUGUGGUUCAAUUCGAAGCAACGCGCAGAACCUUACCUGGGUUUGACAUGACUGGAUUAUCC
RNAcentral lists this ribosomal RNA (918 nucleotides) under uncultured bacterium. Its description in RNAcentral is "bacterial SSU rRNA". It matches the Rfam family "Bacterial small subunit ribosomal RNA", at positions 56 to 1000 of the family's 1533-position model. The record is from RNAcentral.